Molecule: ribosomal RNA, 202 nt
Filed under: Tindallia californiensis
Lineage: Bacteria; Bacillati; Bacillota; Clostridia; Peptostreptococcales; Tindalliaceae
Description: 16S rRNA. Bacterial SSU
Rfam family: Bacterial small subunit ribosomal RNA
Source: RNAcentral
AUUUAUAUAAGAGUUUGAUCCUGGCUCAGGAUGAACGCUGGCGGCGUGCCUAACACAUGCAAGUCGAGCGGAGUGCCUUUUCGGAAAUUUUCGGAUGGAAGAGAAGGAUACUUAGCGGCGGACGGGUGAGUAACGCGUGGGCAACCAACCUUGAUCAGGGGGACAACAUUGGGAAACCAGUGCUAAUACCGCAUAGCUCUAU